RNAcentral lists this long non-coding RNA (305 nucleotides) under Zostera marina. RNAcentral's name for it is "long non-coding RNA (ZMAR_LNC004475)". The record is from RNAcentral. Lineage: Eukaryota; Viridiplantae; Streptophyta; Magnoliopsida; Alismatales; Zosteraceae.
GGGUAAGUUAGUACCUUAGAGUAUCAAGAAACUUUUAAAAACCUUUCUAAGCUUUAAGGCUACUUCGCUUAGGAACCAGUCUUUUACGGGUAGACUCACACCUUAGAGUAUCGAGGGCACUCUUAAGAACCUCUAACUUUUACGGGUAAGUUAGUACCUUAGAGUAUCAAGGAACUCUUAAAAACCUCUGAAAUCUUUCAAGGUAGACUCGACCUAAGAGUUUUCCCGGAAACUCUAUAAAAUUAAACUAGAGCUUUAUGGUUGAGCUCAAAAACCUUCUCUCACACUUUGGUACUAUUGAGACA